RNAcentral lists this ribosomal RNA (503 nucleotides) under uncultured bacterium. Its description in RNAcentral is "partial 16S ribosomal RNA". It matches the Rfam family "Bacterial small subunit ribosomal RNA", at positions 30 to 523 of the family's 1533-position model. The record is from RNAcentral.
AUUGAACGCUGGCGGCAGGCUUAACACAUGCAAGUCGAGCGGAGUGAUGGUGCUUGCACUAUCACUUAGCGGCGGACGGGUGAGUAAUGCUUAGGAAUCUGCCUAUUAGUGGGGGACAACAUCUCGAAAGGGAUGCUAAUACCGCAUACGUCCUACGGGAGAAAGCAGGGGAUCACUUGUGACCUUGCGCUAAUAGAUGAGCCUAAGUCGGAUUAGCUAGUUGGUGGGGUAAAGGCCUACCAAGGCGACGAUCUGUAGCGGGUCUGAGGGGAUGACCCGCCACACUGGGACUGGGACAAGGCCCAGACUCCUACGUGAGGCAGCAGUGGGGAAUAUUGGACAAUGGGGGGAACCCUGAUCCAGCCAUGCCGCGUGUGUGAAGAAGGCCUUAUGGUUGUAAAGCACUUUAAGCGAGGAGGAGGCUCUUUUGGUUAAUACCCAAGCUGAGUGGACGUUACUCGCAGAAUAAGCACCGGCUAACUCUGUGCCAGCCGCCGCCGUAA